GGGGGUGGGGGAAGAGGCGAGGGUAUGUAUCAAUUUGUACAGUCCUCAGUUGGCACCCCUGUUUUUUCCCCCUGCAACGAAUAACCGGAGCUUUCUUCUGCGUUAUUGUUAUGAUCGGUGCGCUCUGCAACAUGAGCCAGCCUGCGCUGACAGACGCCCGGGCUGUGGGGCGUGCGCGUCAGCGUGCAACAUAAAACGACAAAACAGGGAGAGGAAGGAGAAAGCGGAGUGAGAAUGGGAGAACGCAUCGCUGGAUAUCAUAGGUUUUGCUAGGUCUCACGGUGCAACACAACCCAAUCAGAAAUGGAACCAGUUCAACCUUUGCAAGGCCUCGUGUUGUAAAAUGGACGUUAUAAAGAAGACAUAAUGAAAACAAGGACGCACAAAGAAUCGAUGCCCAUGCGUAGUGGCAGAAGGAGGGGGGCAAGUGAAGAGAGAAGGGGCAGACGGCCGCACCCCAGCCCCACUCGUCCUGAACGCAACGACAGGCAGACGCAACGAGGCUCUGGUGAGGAAUUGGCUGGAAAUCGCUUCAGUCGCAGAUCACAAGGGCAUGAUUCAUCAGAGAGUGAGGGGGAGGAACUUGUAUCGCCUCCAAAAAGGCAGAAAGUUCAGGACUCAGCUUGUACCCCAAACCCUCCAACAUCAACACACUCGACUGAAAGCUCAACUCCUUCCACAGUUCCACCUCCAACCACUGUUGUCAGCCAAUCUCGUGAGAGUGACAAUGAGGACGGCCAGUCACAGGGCAGCAGGAGUUCAGUUGUGGGGAGCCUUGCCAAUAGUAGUAGUAGUCUGAGCAGUGGGCGGGAUAUAGACCAAGACAAUCGUUCCUCAUCUCCAAGCCUUUCGGCCUCCCCUCUGGGAAGUCUAGACUCUGAUUCUGAUGGCCCAGACUCACCAAAGCAAGGAGAACGUGAGAAAACUAAAGAAGGGGGUGCAAGGAAAGUCACAGGAGAAGACAGGAGAGCUGUCCGUGAAGGGAGGGGGGAGGAAUCCUGUGGAGAUGGAGAGAAACGAGACGUGGAAGGAGCAGAGGACUGCCCAUCUUUAAAGCCCCCCUCCACUCCCUGCUCUUCGACUGGCUUGACUCAGUCUCUCCGCGGAACAGGAGAUUCGUCAAAUGACAGCAAUAGUGGGAGGAAGUCAUAUUUUUCCCUGGACUCCAAACUGAUGUGUAAAGUUGAGUAUGGCACCCCAACGAGUGUUGAAGGAGCCUUAAGUGGGAACAGAAUGACUUCCAAAGCCAGCUCACAGUGUGUCACAAAGACAACUAUCUCUGGAGGAGAGUUUUCCCACAGUAGCCCCAACAUGUCACACUCGUUACCAAUGCCACUUCCUCCUCCACCUGCCCUAAAACCAUUAGAGCCUGGAGGACAAAACUUGCCUGCUGAGGUUAAGACGGAGCGAGACAAAACAGAGAAGGGAGACAAAAUUCUGGAGAAAACUCAGUCCACGCCUCCUUCUCUGGUGCCACAGACUCCCCCCCAGCCCCAGUCUCAGCCUCAGACACAGCCCUCCAGCCAUCCUCAUCACUACAGCUCCACCAGCUGGCAGGGGGGCACAGCUACUGGUUGCCAGGUCAGCUGGGGUUACACUCGUUACCCUGGCAACCAUCACUCUCACCAGCCUCCUGUUCAACAGCAACAACUUCCUUCCGUUUACAACCCUCCAUCCUCUCGCCAUUCCUCCUCCCACCCCUCUUACCUCCCCCAUUCUCACCCCCACCCCCACAGGGAGUACCUUCCCAGGUACACUGGAGGGGGAGGCGAUAGAGAUAGGGGGGCUGCAGGAGAGAGGGAGCGGGGAGUGAGAGGAGAGUGUGGUGGGAGAGAGAUCAGUAGGGAGUACCCUGUUCCCACUGCAAACAGCAACAACAAUAGCAGCAGUAAUAUUAAUAGUACUUGUGGUGCGAUGGGUGGGCCCAACAGUAUCCAAAACAGGGAGUUUGGGGUCAUGAGUCAGAGCCGUGAGUACCAAGGAUCUGGGAGAGAUGGACCUAACAUUGGUCCAGAAAGGAGAGACUUUGGUCCAGCUUUCAGAGACAGGGAUCGUGAAAGAGACAGAGAACGUGAAACAGGAAAGGAUUUUAAUACACCAAACCAAAACCAAAAUAGAGAUUUUGGCCCUGGUGGAGCUGCAGGGGGGCAUCCCAGAGACAAAGAUGGGAGCAGAUGGGGUGAGUUUCCUGGUCAAACAAGAGAAGUUAGCAACAGCAACCCCAGCAAUUCCAUCUCACAAGGAAACCCCCCAAGCUCAACUGCUGGGCUGCCAGUAGCCCCCAUGCUGAACCGUGAUCCACCUGUCUCUCCUCAAAACAAUGCAAAUCACCCAUCCCAAACAUCCCUUCCUUCACACCAUAACUCUCAUCCUUCAAACUCAUCAAACAGAGACUUUCCUCCUUCUAUAGACCAGGCACAAACUCCAUCCUCUGGUGGAGAUCACUUUCACAGAGAGUAUCCUCCUUCUGGAGCAAAAGACUUUCCUGCUGGUGUGCCUCCUCCUGCUGGCACAAAUCGUGAGUACUUAAGCUCCCCGGGGGUAACUUCAAAUGUGGGUCGAGAGUAUUCAGGGCCCGGUGGAGCCCAGUAUCCUCACCCACCUUACCCUCAUUACCAGUCUGGGCCAAAAGACAGGGAGAGGGACUCAAACUUGCGAGACUCUAGUAUGUACCAAAGCCGUGGAGGCCCAAAUCAGCCUUCUGCACUCUCUCCUUCCUCCUCUAGCACUCACCAUGGGCCAUACCCCCAUCAACCAACUCUGGCUCCUCUACCCCCUCCGCAAAACUCACACACUCAACCUCCUCCAGUAGGUAUGGCUGCUGGUGUCCGCCCCCCACAUUAUCAAUCCUCUACCCAGACUCCUCCGAAACCCCUAUCACCCUUGCCCAGUCCAUCCACCAAUCAGAUAGGACCAUUUUCAUCUUUUCCCUCUGGCCCCUCUUCUGUUCCUAAUGCGCAACUUCCUGUGGCGCCUGCACCAACCAGCUGUUCACCUGGUUGCCGUCCUUCCCCUUUCCAUGGCGCUUUGAACAGCCGCCCUCAAUUCAGUGGAACAUAUCACUCUAAUGGGAGCAAUGCUGGUCAUAUGGCAAACAGUGGUAGCAACAGUAGCACACCCAGUAGCAGUAAUACCAACUCUCAGUCACUCUCACCUCAAAAUAUCUCUAAGGGCCCUCCACCUCUAGGUAACUCUACCAACAAUAACAACAUUUCAGCGCCCGUCACAAGCUCUGUACUCCCAAGUGGAGAUGGGCAUUCAGAUUCAGGCCCACCUCCAACACCCGUCAUUAAAGAAGAACCAAUUGAAGAAAGGGAAGAGAAUGAAAGCCCACCACCAGUGUUGAGAAGUCCCUCACCAGAACCAAAACCUGUGGACAUUCCUAUCCACGCCAGCCAGUCAGCACGGUUUCACAAGGUCCUAGAUCGUGGCAGUGGGAACUCCUGUGCACGCAGCGAUGUUGUCUUUGUUCCACUAGACGGAUCCAAACUGUGGAAGAAACGGAAUGAGAUGAUUGAAAGAGCUCGCAGAGAGGUGGAACAGCGAGCAAGAGACCUAAGAGAAAAAGAAAGAGAACGAGAAAGAGAGCGUGAACGUGAGAGGGAACUGGAUCGUCAUCUGCAGCACCAGAAGGACAUCAGUGCUGCUGGAGGGGGUCGCCAGGGCUCCACACUUUUUUUCCCUCCCUCAUCCUCUAUUAUUCUUGACCCUUCUUCUGCCUCAUCCAGCAACCCUGUCCCCCACCCUCCUCAUCCCCAGCAUCAUCCUUCACAUCCACAUGCUCACCUUGCUCCAGCACACCAUCUCCAUCCAUCUCUCUCUCAUUCAAUACCCCACUCCUUGCUUUUACCAUCCAUGGGUGGUGCAUCUGCUGUAGUUGGAGGUCCCCAGGGAGGCCUGGGAAUAGGUUUGGGAGGUCCAUAUUUGGGUCCUGACACACCAGCAUUAAGAACUCUGAGCGAAUAUGCUCGCCCACAUGCUAUGUCUCCACUUGGGGCCGCAAGUCGCGCCCAAGCACACCACCCACAGGUUCAUCAUGGGCACCCCCACGUCCACCCCUCAUUCUUCCUCCCUCAGUUUCAGAAUCAUGCUUUUGCCCAUCCACACCACCUUCCUGCUGAUGCAGCCACAGCAGCGGCUAUUUUGGGGUUUUUGUAUGGUGGUAGUCUAGAAAAUGGUCCAGGCAUUGGUGGCCAUCCUGGAAUGGCAGGAGGUCCGGUACCUGGUGGGAUUGGAGGUCCAGGAUUAGGAGGAGUUGGUUUCCCUCACUCAGUGGCCUCUCAUCGAGAUCGGAUGAAACCUGGAUUUGAAUUCAAGAGUGACGAGCGGGUUUACCCACCUGGAUCCAUUCCUGAUCCUGCAGCCAUUGCUCUUGCUCACUCUCAUUCCCAUGCCCAUGCAAAUGCCCAUGCGCAAGCUCACUCCUUGCUGCUUGGAGCUGGUCCGGCAGGAGCAAAUGAGGUGUCACUCUAUGGUACUCCUCCUCCAGCUGCCCCUGGACCUCCACACCUCCAAAACCCAGCCCUGGCACCAGUAACUCGACCUCCUAACCCUCCGGCUCCUCAGUCUCUGGCCAAUCCCCCUGCUACAUCUCUACUUCCACCAUCUCUUACCUCCCACCCUUUAUCUGCUCCACCUGCUGCCUCUCAAGCGCCACCAUCCACCACUGCUCCUCCAUCCGCUCCUUCCCAGCCUGCUCCACCAACAUCUAAUGCUGCCUCGCUUCAUCACCCAGUCCCCCAUUCUUCUUUUCCCUCCUCUCAUCUGCCACCAGCCUCUGCGCCCACUGCUCCUGCCGAGAACUAUCCCACUCCCACCCGCUCCCCUGCUUCCUUUGAGCGUGACCGGAGUGGAGAAAGAGAAAGGGAAAAGGAACGAGACCGAGCAGCUUUACCGACCUUUGGGGAGAGGGAGCGUGAAAGGGGAGGAAGCAGCGGGGGUGGAGGAGGGGGAGCCAGUGGAGGAGGAGGAAAUGGAGGAGGAGGAGGAGGAGGAAGUGGCGGAGGAGGAGAGAAUCUCGGUCGUCUUCAGAUGCUGAACGUGACACCUCAUCAUCACCAGCAUUCACACAUCCACUCACAUCUUCAUCUGCACCAGCAAGACACAGCAUUGGCAUCUAGCGGCGGGCGGGGUUCACCCCCUAAUGGACCCGUUGGCGUCAGGGUCUCCUUUGGCACGCCUCCCUUACCCAGGAGCCACAAUCGGCACCCCCAUCCUGGCUCACCCCCUCACUGACAGCGAUGUGCUCCGCCAACAGCUGUUCGGUGAGGAGAAGGCUCCUCGUCCAUGUGCUCCUUUCCGUGACCUGCCACAGCCGUCCUCCCUCACUGGUCCCAUGUCGGCAGCCCAUCAGCUCCAGGCCAUGCAGCAGGCCCAGAGCGCAGAGCUGCAGAUCCAGAGACUGGCCCUGGAGCAACAGUGGAUCCACCAUCACCACCACUCCCUCACCCAGGACGAGUAUUACAGUCACCUGAAGAAGGAGAGUGACAAGACCUUGUGAGGGAGGGGCACGACAGGAAGCAGCAUGGAGAAAAGGGACAAAUACUACAACGAAAGCACUGAAAACGAGGAAACAAAGACUUAUUUACAAGAUGUGGACUUCUUAUGGACAAGGAAUUUACUGAGGAAGAUUUUGAAGGAUUAUUGGAGGAAGGAGGAGGGUGUGAAAAUGUUGCACAGAGUCCCUCCUAACGGCUCCAGCGCUUUUCCUGCGUUUUGUUCUUCGGUCCUCUUUUUUUUUUUUUGGUUUUUCGCUCUGUACAGAAUAUUAGCUGGAGGCGACGAUAGUGAAGUACAGUACGUGUAAAAUACUUGAUGCCAGAAGACUGUGUACAUGAGUCUCUUAUGUGGUUGCAUGUAGCUUUAUGCGCUUAUUCUAAACUGGUGGAACUUUUGGUUCUGUUUUUUAGUCAUUUCCCCCUCAUUUGUAUCUGAGGGCUGCUCUAUAUGCAUGAGACCAGCAUUUUAGUGUUUUGUUAUGUUUAUGAUUAAUAGUAUUGUUAUUAAGAUUAUUGUUGUUUGUUGAUAAUGAAUAAUUAUAUAUACAACACAUAUUAUUUGUAUUAUUUUUUUACAUUUUCAUGGUAUGGCAGUUGGUUUUUAUUUUUGAUUUUCAAUUUUCCUUGUGUAACAAGAUGCAAAUGAGGGCAAAAAAAACAAAAAAAAAACAUCUGGAAAUAAAUUAUAAUCUCUUUUUUGGUAA
Molecule: RNA transcript, 6202 nt
Organism: Oryzias melastigma (Indian medaka)
Lineage: Eukaryota; Metazoa; Chordata; Actinopteri; Beloniformes; Adrianichthyidae
Gene: atn1
Gene name: atrophin 1
Exons: 10
Source: RefSeq, a predicted model, not a curated record